CCUACGGGGGGCAGCAGUGGGGAAUAUUGGACAAUGGGGGCAACCCUGAUCCAGCCAUGCCGCGUGUGUGAAGAAGGCCCUCGGGUUGUAAAGCACUUUCAGUGAGGAAGAACGCCUGGUGGUUAAUACCCAUCAGGAAAGACAUCACUCACAGAAGAAGCACCGGCUAACUCCGUGCCAGCAGCCGCGGUAAUACGGAGGGUGCGAGCGUUAAUCGGAAUUACUGGGCGUAAAGCGCGCGUAGGUGGCUUGAUAAGCCGGUUGUGAAAGCCCCGGGCUCAACCUGGGAACGGCAUCCGGAACUGUCGAGCUAGAGUGCACGAGAGGAAGGUAGAAUUCCCGGUGUAGCGGUGAAAUGCGGAGAGAUCGGGAGGAAUACCAGUGGCGAAGGCGGCCUUCUGGACUGACACUGACACUGAGGUGCGAAAGCGUGGGUAGCAAACAGGAUUAGAUACCCGUGUAGUC
RNAcentral lists this ribosomal RNA (465 nucleotides) under Vreelandella stevensii. Its description in RNAcentral is "partial 16S ribosomal RNA". It matches the Rfam family "Bacterial small subunit ribosomal RNA", at positions 338 to 795 of the family's 1533-position model. The record is from RNAcentral. Lineage: Bacteria; Pseudomonadati; Pseudomonadota; Gammaproteobacteria; Oceanospirillales; Halomonadaceae.